Molecule: long non-coding RNA, 328 nt
Organism: Nicotiana attenuata
Lineage: Eukaryota; Viridiplantae; Streptophyta; Magnoliopsida; Solanales; Solanaceae
Exons: 2
Source: RefSeq, a predicted model, not a curated record
GUGACUUUAAUGCAUUUGAGUGAAGCAAAAAUGACAACAUCACAAAUCUUUGUCCUUAUGACUUUCAUGGUCUUCGCCUUUGCAUCACUAGAGUUGACAGCUGGACAAUGUUGGCUUUUUGUUCACGAAGAUUGGGGAUCCUGUACAAGUGACGAUAAUUGUCAGGUUCACUGUAACAAAUAUCAUGACCGUGCAGCUUAUGUUAAGGGUCAAUGUGAAGCUCAAAUGAGUGUAUGUAGUUGUCGAGCUUGUUCGUACUAACAAUAUAAUAAUUUAUUGUAUUGUUAGUAAUAUAAGUUAACCAGUUAAUACAACUUAUUAUUACUUU